AUCAAAAACAUGUCUGCAUGGGUGAUAAUUUGUAGUCUGGCCUGCCCACUGAAUGUAUUUUAAAGGGCCGCKGUAUUUUGACYGUGCAAAGGUAGCAUAAUCAAUAGUUUUUUAAUUGAAAACUGGAAUGAAAGGUCGGACAAGAAGUAGACUGUCUCUUUUAUAAGGCUUGAAUUUUACUUUUAAGUGAAAAGGCUUAAAUGAUUUAGGGGGACKAUAAGACCCUAUAAAACUUAACAGAUUUUAUUUAGAGAGGACAAUUAACGUUUAAAUAGUUUUUGGGUAAAACUGUUUUACUGGGGCKGUAUGGAUAAAAUAAAAUAACUGUCUAUAAAUUAUAAUAUUAUAAAUAGUAAAUUUGAUCCUUUAUUAGGGAUUAGGAGAUAAAGUUACUUUAGGGAUAACAGCGUAAUCUCUCUUGAGAGUCCUAAUCGACAGAGUAAGUUGCGACCUCGAUGUUGAAUUAAGGUGUUAUCUAGGCGCAGAAGUCUAGACKGUAGGUCUGUUCGACCUUAAAACCUAC
RNAcentral lists this ribosomal RNA (523 nucleotides) under Lysmata lipkei. Its description in RNAcentral is "partial large subunit ribosomal RNA". It matches the Rfam family "Bacterial large subunit ribosomal RNA", at positions 1806 to 2599 of the family's 2925-position model. The record is from RNAcentral. Lineage: Eukaryota; Metazoa; Arthropoda; Malacostraca; Decapoda; Hippolytidae.